This is a long non-coding RNA of Capsicum annuum, 569 nucleotides long. RefSeq lists it as uncharacterized. The transcript has 3 exons. Lineage: Eukaryota; Viridiplantae; Streptophyta; Magnoliopsida; Solanales; Solanaceae. The record is from RefSeq and is a predicted model, not a curated record.
AAUGUGUACCUAUAAGGAAAGAUAAGAAUAAAGAACAAAAGGAGCCACUAAACGAGGGAAGGGAAAACAAUUGUUAAGUAAAAUUCUUCAUCAUUGUCACCGGCUAUAUUUUAUCGUAAAAUAUGUCUAACCUGUGUUUGUAGAGCGCAACCUUUUGCCAAGAUCGUGGCUGUUUUCAGCCUGUGUUGUAAGCACAUCCAGGUAUCUGGAGAAUGAAAGACCUCAGAUUUUAUAAAUACUCCCUCGUACCAAGAACGAUAGAAGGGGUAAUGAGGUUGAAAAUAAAGAAAUGAAUAGGAUGAUCAUAGAACUUCUUUUGUGGUGUAAUCUGAGGACGGUGACGAUUUUUUUUCCCCGUGUUCAGGGUGAAGGUCAUGAGGAAGUCUAGAGGAGCACUUUUCCCGGAAGAUAAACUCUGCAAAUGGCUGACUCAUCUAUUGUUAGCUUUGGAGCAUCUGCAUUCCAACCGCGUUCAUCAUAGAGACCUCAAGUUAUGUAACAUAUUCAUCAUAAAGGACAACGACAUCAUGUUAGGUAAGAAUGCCCGAACAAUUGCUUGAUUGGGUCGU